Zingiber officinale is the source of this 770-nucleotide long non-coding RNA. RefSeq lists it as uncharacterized. The transcript has 4 exons. The record is from RefSeq and is a predicted model, not a curated record. NCBI's taxonomy places the organism in Eukaryota, Viridiplantae, Streptophyta, Magnoliopsida, Zingiberales, Zingiberaceae.
CUUUUUUCCUUUUAUUUUCUUUCCUCUUCGCCGAUUUUCCCAACCCGCGCCCCUGCACCGAUGUCGUUUCUUCUUCCCAUCCCCAACUGCCGCCGCCGCUGCUAGCGACACCUCCUCUUCUCCCCAAGCCUUACAAAACCCCUCUCCAACGCAUAGCAGCGGCGAUCCUUCCUCUUCCCCUUUUUGCUCCCGCAACGCCGAAGUCUCCUCUUCACCGAGCCGCUCUUUCUCCGAAUUGCGCCGCCCCCUUUCUUGUGCAUCCUUGCCCUAGAUCAACCUCCCGCUCGCCACUGGCUACUGCCGACCAUCAAAUCGGGAUACUCCAACCUCUCUGAGCCUAGCCGACGAUCCACCAUCAGCGUAUCCUCCGUGACCACUAGCAGAUCAGAGCGGCGAUAGGAGUGGAGACCAGCUCUCUCUCAGCCUCUACGCAUCAAGCAACACCAGAUCUGCCACCCAUCCAGUGACUUCGCCGGCGUAGAUUUAUCACAGCCGUGCCCUAGCUCUAGUAAUGUAACAGCAAAGGUUGUGUGCUGUGGAUCAACAAUCAAGGUUGUGAGGUGGAGUAGGAUUGGUUGUGGGGUUGUUCAUUUGUUCCGGCCAACAACUUAGGGUUGUUUGAGGUAGCCUUACUCAGCUGCGGCCACCGUCUUACAGCUGUGGACUCCUCCGGUCGAGAGCCUAUUAGCUACCACAGAUUUUGGACGCUGAUUUAUGACGAGUUGCCUUACGUGGGAUUUCCUUUGGCACACGCGAUAUUUGAGGCGGGU